This 875-nucleotide ribosomal RNA is filed under the name Ralstonia sp. Its description in RNAcentral is "bacterial SSU rRNA". It matches the Rfam family "Bacterial small subunit ribosomal RNA", at positions 56 to 921 of the family's 1533-position model. The record is from RNAcentral. Lineage: Bacteria; Pseudomonadati; Pseudomonadota; Betaproteobacteria; Burkholderiales; Burkholderiaceae.
UGCAAGUCGAACGGCAGCAUGAUCUAGCUUGCUAGAUUGAUGGCGAGUGGCGAACGGGUGAGUAAUACAUCGGAACGUGCCCUGUAGUGGGGGAUAACUAGUCGAAAGAUUAGCUAAUACCGCAUACGACCUGAGGGUGAAAGUGGGGGACCGCAAGGCCUCAUGCUAUAGGAGCGGCCGAUGUCUGAUUAGCUAGUUGGUGGGGUAAAGGCCCACCAAGGCGACGAUCAGUAGCUGGUCUGAGAGGACGAUCAGCCACACUGGGACUGAGACACGGCCCAGACUCCUACGGGAGGCAGCAGUGGGGAAUUUUGGACAAUGGGCGAAAGCCUGAUCCAGCAAUGCCGCGUGUGUGAAGAAGGCCUUCGGGUUGUAAAGCACUUUUGUCCGGAAAGAAAUCGCACUUACUAAUACUAGGUGUGGAUGACGGUACCGGAAGAAUAAGGACCGGCUAACUACGUGCCAGCAGCCGCGGUAAUACGUAGGGUCCAAGCGUUAAUCGGAAUUACUGGGCGUAAAGCGUGCGCAGGCGGUUGUGCAAGACCGAUGUGAAAUCCCCGAGCUUAACUUGGGAAUUGCAUUGGUGACUGCACGGCUAGAGUGUGUCAGAGGGGGGUAGAAUUCCACGUGUAGCAGUGAAAUGCGUAGAGAUGUGGAGGAAUACCGAUGGCGAAGGCAGCCCCCUGGGAUAACACUGACGCUCAUGCACGAAAGCGUGGGGAGCAAACAGGAUUAGAUACCCUGGUAGUCCACGCCCUAAACGAUGUCAACUAGUUGUUGGGGAUUCAUUUCCUUAGUAACGUAGCUAACGCGUGAAGUUGACCGCCUGGGGAGUACGGUCGCAAGAUUAAAACUCAAAGGAAUUGACGGGGACC